This 246-nucleotide ribosomal RNA is filed under the name uncultured bacterium. RNAcentral's name for it is "partial 16S ribosomal RNA". It matches the Rfam family "Bacterial small subunit ribosomal RNA", at positions 15 to 244 of the family's 1533-position model. The record is from RNAcentral.
GAUCAUGGCUCAGGAUGAACGCUGGCGGCGUGCUUAACACAUGCAAGUCGAACGGGAAACAUUUUAUUGAAGCUUCGGCAGAUUUAGCUUGUUUCUAGUGGCGGACGGGUGAGUAACGCGUGGGUAACCUGCCUUAUACCGGGGGAUAACAGCCAGAAAUGGCUGCUAAUACCGCAUAAGCGCACAGAACCGCAUGGUUCCGUGUGAAAAACUCCGGUGGUAUAAGAUGGACCCGCGUUGGAUUAG